Long non-coding RNA from Acinonyx jubatus (cheetah), 593 nucleotides. RefSeq lists it as uncharacterized. The transcript is spliced from 4 exons. Lineage: Eukaryota; Metazoa; Chordata; Mammalia; Carnivora; Felidae. The record is from RefSeq and is a predicted model, not a curated record.
CAAUUGUACACUCAAAUACCCAAAGCAGAUUGGUUAACAUGCAACCUUUGUUUAAUUACUGAUCAAGUAAAGUUUUGACUUAUAACCUGUGACUUUCCUUCCUUUGGUUUGCAUGUUCCAUACAUAUUCAAAGAAACUCAUGGUGAUGAAAGUACUCAACAAUAGACAAAGUAUGGCAUAAAGCCAUUAAAAUACUGGGAAAAUAUAAUCUCCAGCAUUAACAUCAGACAACUGGCAGUUCAAAAAACAAUGCGGAUGAUGAACAAAGCAUUACUUAUAAACCGAUGUAAUGCGAGUAAGGACAGAUCCACUGACACCAUCAGGACAACACAUUUCUAACCCUUGCGCCAGGAAGAAACCUGACAGUUGAAGACUGACAAGGCUCCAUGCAAGUGGCAGAGCUAUCUACUGGAAGAAAUGUGAAGCCUGGAUUAUAUUCUUCAAUCUUCCAUUUUGCAAAAAGGGGGCAACAAUGACACAUAUAGCCUAUUUUAUAUGUGAGCAUGUUAGAAGAAUUAAUCUAGAAUGUCUUGAAAAUAUGUUAAAGCCCUCUGAUACUAGAAUUCCAUGAAAAUAAAGUGUUGUUCAUAUAA